This 354-nucleotide ribosomal RNA is filed under the name uncultured bacterium. Its description in RNAcentral is "partial 16S ribosomal RNA". It matches the Rfam family "Bacterial small subunit ribosomal RNA", at positions 338 to 709 of the family's 1533-position model. The record is from RNAcentral.
CCUACGGGUGGCUGCAGUGGGGAAUAUUGCACAAUGGGGGAAACCCUGAUGCAGCAACGCCGCGUGAGUGAAGAAGUAUUUCGGAAUGUAAACUCCUAUCAUCAGGGAAGAAAAUGACGGUAUCUGACUAAGAAGCACCGGCUAACUACGUGCCAGCAGCCGCGGUAAUACGGAGGGUGCAAGCGUUAUCCGGAUUUACUGGGUGUAAAGGGCGCGUAGGCGGGGUAGCAAGUCAGAGGUGAAAUCCCAUGGCUUAACCAUGGUACUGCGCUGGAAACUGUUGAGCUUGAGUGCGGGAGGGGAAGGCGGAAUUCAGAGUGUAGCGGUGAAAUGCGUAGAGAUUAGGAGGAACAC